UGGGGAAUUUUUCGCAAUGGGCGAAAGCCUGACGAAGCAACGCCGCGUGGAGGAUGAAGGCCCUCGUGGUCGUAAACUCCUGUCUAGCGGGACGAAAGUAUUGGAGGUGAAUAAUCUCCGAUAUUGACUGUACCGCUGGAGGAAGCUCCGGCCAACUCCGUGCCAGCAGCCGCGGUAAUACGGAGGGAGCAAGCGUUACUCGGAAUUCUUGGGCGUAAAGGGCGCGUAGGCGAUCUGACAAGUCUGGUGUGAAAGCCCACAUGUUAACUGUGGAAGUGCAUUAGAAACUGUUGGAUUUGAGUUCAGGAGAGGAAGGCAGAAUUCCAGGUGUAGCGGUGAAAUGCGUAGAGAUCGGGAGGAAUACCAGUGGCGAAGGCGAUCUUCUGGACUGACACUGACGCUGAGGCGCGAAAGCCAGGGGAGCAAACGGG
This 431-nucleotide ribosomal RNA is filed under the name Bacillota bacterium. RNAcentral describes it as "Firmicutes bacterium partial 16S ribosomal RNA". It matches the Rfam family "Bacterial small subunit ribosomal RNA", at positions 355 to 776 of the family's 1533-position model. Lineage: Bacteria; Bacillati; Bacillota. The record is from RNAcentral.